RNAcentral lists this long non-coding RNA (1019 nucleotides) under Nicotiana tabacum (common tobacco). RNAcentral's name for it is "long non-coding RNA (NTAB_LNC017030)". Lineage: Eukaryota; Viridiplantae; Streptophyta; Magnoliopsida; Solanales; Solanaceae. The record is from RNAcentral.
UGAACAAAGAGAAGUUCAAGACAGACUUAGAGUAAGUAUUCAUGGCUACUUCCCGCUGUCCAAAAUGCUCCUACGGUCUUAUAGAUGCUUUUGCUGAACAGUUUUGGAUGAAGGAAUAAAUAAGGUAGAAUAGAAUUAGCAUUUUCUUCUGCAAGCAAAAUGAAUAAAUUUUACUUUUUUGCAUUCCAGCAGAAUCAGAUAAGAUGUGACUAUGUUUCCCUCUAUACUAGGUUAGAAAGAGACAGGAUGUCGAAAAUCCUGUUAUGGUUUCUCGAGUUGCAUUUAAUGGCUACAAUAUUAAAGACAAGUUUAUCCUUUGCACAUUACUCUAUGGCUUGCAUUAGGUUAUGAGAUGGAAUGAAUUUUUUUUGUACAACUAACAAUAAAAUUAAAAAGUAAUGGUAGCGAGAAGUUAAUUAUGUUAAUUUUCUUUCUGUUAUUUCCCUCCAUAACUAACAAUUUUUUUCAAGAAAAAUUCCCAGCAAGGCAAAAAUGUUUUCAAGUUGAGUCUUGAUAGCCAUGCCAAUUUAGAAUUUUAAAAGCGUACGGAGAAGUUAAUUUCGUUAAACACAUGAUACAACCGCAAGUUAUCGAGUGACUUCAUAUGUUAAUUAUUUGUCCUCUUCUUUUCUUCUUUCGUUUCCUUUGAAGUUGUCUAUUGGUCAUUCGUUUCGUUCAUCAAGCAGAUUACAGGUGAUAUGAACUUUGCUUCGAUGAGUGCUUUAUUUAGUUUGAGUUGAUGAUUUAGGAUAAUUGAAAUAGAUUUUUUUGUUGCAGGCUUCGAAGUUCACAGUGGCUUCAGUUCAAGCCUUUAUAAGAUUAUUGCAUAUAUAUCAAAAUCUAUGAACAUAGAGUUGCCUUCACUUCAUGCUGGGUGGAAAGAGUUCCAAAGACCACGUAUGUUAUGUUGUAAGGAUUAGUGAAGUACAUGAUUAGUGAUGGUCAAUAGUCAUUUUUCUACUUUUAUAAUUUGUAUGAAAUAAAUUUGAAAAUUGUUGACAUAAAGAGUUGUGGAGCCA